AUCAGCAUGGCAUAGUGGUUUGAGUGUUGGACUAUGACUCUGAAGUCCAGAGUUCAAUUCCCAGCUCAGCCA
This 72-nucleotide transfer RNA is filed under the name Phrynosoma platyrhinos (Desert horned lizard). Its description in RNAcentral is "tRNA-OTHER". Lineage: Eukaryota; Metazoa; Chordata; Lepidosauria; Squamata; Phrynosomatidae. The record is from RNAcentral.